AGAAUUCUACCUUUUUUUUUUUUUUUACAGUACAUAAUAUGCAGUAAACUAGUUUCUAUUUUAAACACUUUUUUGUAAAAUAAAUAAAUGUAUAUAUAUAUAUAUAUAUAUAUAUAUAUAUAUAUAUAUAUAUAUAUAUAUAUAUAUAUAUAUAUAUAUAUAUAUAUAUAUAUAUAUUGCUGUGAUUAGUUAUCACUUAAAAUGUAACAUUAAAAUAAGUAAGGUGUUGUUUCAACUUAAGAAAAGCACGUUUUUUACUUAAACUAAGGUUAACUUUAGUUAUCUUGAUUAUUCAAGUUAUCUCCACAAAUUUUCAGGUUGUUAUAACUAAUUGCAGCAACAUUUAUGUAGUUAUUUUUUUCUUGAAAUCUUGCUCUGUGCACAGUUGCAUGAUCUUCUGGAUCUCAGGAGCCUGAUGUUGUUGUGUCGCCCCCUACAGGACUGCAGCAUCUCUACAUGUGGACUGAAGCCACCUGCACCACCUGAAGCACAGCAAAAUGUUGCAGAAAUCACAACGGGAGACGUUAUGUUUCGAUCCUGGACGAUCCCACCCGGUCCGUGUUUCUGGAAAUUAAUCCACACUGCAUCUUCAGAUGUUAUCUGGCUGUAAUGCUUCCACACUAAUGAAGUGCUUUUGCACGGAUUAAAGCUGCGAUCUGCACAUCCAUCCUGACGUGUUUCCACCUUCAUCUCAUGCCUGCGCUGUGAGGUCACGGCGAACCCCACCCCGGAGCGUCUGAACCGACACGUCAUCCAUUAGAGCUCAAUCACGACGGCCGGAUCUAAAUCAAUUAGAUAUGAAGCCCAGAGGUCACGGGGGUCAGCGCUGGGACGAGGCGUUCAUUAUGAGCGCAGCAUAUCUGAUUUAAUACACCGCUGGAACGGGAAGCCGCUCGGGAGAACUGCGGAUAUUAAAGGUCAAAUGUCAUCCAGCAUGUGGGCCUAAGAUAAAGUUACUGUGAAAUACUCCGGGAAAGAUGGAAAAUGUUCCCUUUAUAUACAGAGAAAGACAUCAGGCAUGUUCAGAAUCCAGUGCUGCCCGUGAUAUCCCACAAUCCUAUGCGUGCCAUUUUUAGAUAAGUAUUUGUGUCAAAAGUUUGGAAUACUUACGAUUUUUGGCUGCAUUUAUUUGAUAACAGUAAUAUUGCCAAAUACUAUUACAAUUUAAAAUAACUGUUUUCUAUGUGAAUCUCUGUUAAAGUGUAAUGUAUUUCUGUGAUGCAAAGCUGUAUUGUCAGCAUCAUUACUCCAGUCUUCAGUUUCACAUGAUCUUCAGAAAUCAUUCUAAUAUGAUGAUUUUUUGUAGUAAUAUUUUCAUUAAAUAUUUUUUGUUGUAUUUUUAGCAAAUUAUUGCAGCUUUGAAGAGCUUAAAAGACUUAAAAUGCUAUAGAAAUAUCGUUCUUACAGUAGUUUGUUAACAGGGUUAUUAUAAAUUACAGCUAAACUAAAACUAAAUCUAUUAAAAAUCUUAUUUUAAUGUUGAAAUAAAGCUGAAUAUGUGUGUGUGUGUGUGUGUGUGUGUGUGUGUGUGUGUGUGUGUGUGUGUGUGUGUGUGUGUGUGUGUGUACACACAAAAAUAAAAUAAAAAUACUAGAUGAAAAAAAAUUCAUUACAAAUGUUGCCUUGGCAAAUUACUGAAAUAAAUUUAAGCUGAAGCAAUUAAACAACUAACUGAAAAAAAAAACAAAUCUAGUAGUUAUUUAUUUAUUUAUUUAUUUAUUUGUAUGAAAAUAAAUUAAACCUAAGUAGUAAUAUCUAAAAAGUCGUAAAACUACUAAAGGUUAAACUAAAAUUUAAAGAACUGAAAAUAUAAAAAUAAAAGUUAAUUGAAAAUAUUAAUAACAACAAUAUUAGUAGGCCAUAAAUAAUGCUAAAAUAAAGCAUGAAUGCCCCUUUUUCGAUGAAAAUAAAUACAUUUCUAACAAAAAAAAAAAAAAAAAAGCUCUGUUUUUAUUUAUUAAUCAUGCAUGCAUUUCUCUCUAAAGCUCACUGUAAUUUCCUCCAGAUGUGACGUCAUGCUGCCUGUGAAGCCGGUCUGAAAGCAGUUUCCUGUCAUGCAAAGGUUUUGGAUGAGUAUGUCUGUUCAAUGUGAUGCAUUUAUU
Molecule: long non-coding RNA, 2102 nt
Organism: Cyprinus carpio carpio
Lineage: Eukaryota; Metazoa; Chordata; Actinopteri; Cypriniformes; Cyprinidae
Source: Ensembl